Molecule: ribosomal RNA, 561 nt
Filed under: Phomopsis sp. HHTG-2015h
Lineage: Eukaryota; Fungi; Ascomycota; Sordariomycetes; Diaporthales; Diaporthaceae
Description: eukaryotic LSU rRNA
Rfam family: 5.8S ribosomal RNA (bases 185-338)
Source: RNAcentral
GCACGUAAGCGGAGGACAUAUCAUAAGCGGAGGAGCAUAUCAAUAAGCGGAGGAGCAUAUCAAUAAGCGGAGGAGCAUAUCAAUAAGCGGAGGAGCAUAUCAGUAGGCGGAGGAAGCACUCCGGCGGCCAACCAAACUCUUGUUUUUACACUGAAACUCUGAGAAUAAAACAUAAAUGAAUCAAAACUUUCAACAACGGAUCUCUUGGUUCUGGCAUCGAUGAAGAACGCAGCGAAAUGCGAUAAGUAAUGUGAAUUGCAGAAUUCAGUGAAUCAUCGAAUCUUUGAACGCACAUUGCGCCCUCUGGUAUUCCGGAGGGCAUGCCUGUUCGAGCGUCAUUUCAACCCUCAAGCCUGGCUUGGUGAUGGGGCACUGCCUUCUAACGAGGGCAGGCCCUGAAAUUCAGUGGCGAGCUCGCCAGGACCCCGAGCGCAGUAGUUAAACCCUCGCUCUGGAAGGCCCUGGCGGUGCCCUGCCGUUAAACCCCCAACUCUUGAAAAUUUGACCUCGGAUCAGGUAGGAAUACCCGCUGAACUUAAGCAUAUCAAUAAGCGGAGGAAA